This 69-nucleotide ribosomal RNA is filed under the name Oenococcus oeni. RNAcentral's name for it is "partial 23S ribosomal RNA". Lineage: Bacteria; Bacillati; Bacillota; Bacilli; Lactobacillales; Lactobacillaceae. The record is from RNAcentral.
CGCCUCCGUUAUCUUUUAGGAGGCGCUCAAAGGUUUGCUCAGAAUGGUUGGAAAUCAUUCGUAGCGUGU